This is a small nuclear RNA of Cercocebus atys (sooty mangabey), 129 nucleotides long. Its record names the gene U4. It matches the Rfam family "U4 spliceosomal RNA". From Rfam's summary of the family: U4 small nuclear RNA (U4 snRNA) is a component of the major U2-dependent spliceosome. Lineage: Eukaryota; Metazoa; Chordata; Mammalia; Primates; Cercopithecidae. The record is from Ensembl.
AGCUUUGAACAGUGGCAGUAUCGUAGCCAAUGAGGUUUAUCCGAGGCGCAAUUAUUGCUAAUACAAUAUGUGAUCCUUUACCAAUAUGUUUUCCUUCUAUAGAUCAACUGCUGUCAUAGAAUGAUUUCC